GAUGAACGCUGGCGGCGUGCCUAAUACAUGCAAGUCGAGCGAACGGACGAGAAGCUUGCUUCUCUGAUGUUAGCGGCGGACGGGUGAGUAACACGUGGAUAACCUACCUAUAAGACUGGGAUAACUUCGGGAAACCGGAGCUAAUACCGGAUAAUAUUUUGAACCGCAUGGUUCAAAAGUGAAAGACGGUCUUGCUGUCACUUAUAGAUGGAUCCGCGCUGCAUUAGCUAGUUGGUAAGGUAACGGCUUACCAAGGCAACGAUGCAUAGCCGACCUGAGAGGGUGAUCGGCCACACUGGAACUGAGACACGGUCCAGACUCCUACGGGAGGCAGCAGUAGGGAAUCUUCCGCAAUGGGCGAAAGCCUGACGGAGCAACGCCGCGUGAGUGAUGAAGGUCUUCGGAUCGUAAAACUCUGUUAUUAGGGAAGAACAUAUGUGUAAGUAACUGUGCACAUCUUGACGGUACCUAAUCAGAAAGCCACGGCUAACUACGUGCCAGCAGCCGCGGUAAUACGUAGGUGGCAAGCGUUAUCCGGAAUUAUUGGGCGUAAAGCGCGCGUAGGCGGUUUUUUAGUCUGAUGUGAAAGCCCACGGCUCAACCGUGGAGGGUCAUUGGAAACUGGAAAACUUGAGUGCAGAAGAGGAAAGUGGAAUUCCAUGUGUAGCGGUGAAAUGCGCAGAGAUAUGGAGGAACACCAGUGGCGAAGGCGACUUUCUGGUCUGUAACUGACGCUGAUGUGCGAAAGCGUGGGGAUCAAACAGGAUUAGAUACCCUGGUAGUCCACGCCGUAAACGAUGAGUGCUAAGUGUUAGGGGGUUUCCGCCCCUUAGUGCUGCAGCUAACGCAUUAAGCACUCCGCCUGGGGAGUACGACCGCAAGGUUGAAACUCAAAGGAAUUGACGGGGACCCGCACAAGCGGUGGAGCAUGUGGUUUAAUUCAAAGCAACGCGAAGAACCUUACCAAAUCUUGACAUCCUUUGACAACUCUAGAGAUAGAGCUUUCCCCUUCGGGGGACAAAGUGACAGGUGGUGCAUGGUUGUCGUCAGCUCGUGUCGUGAGAUGUUGGGUUAAGUCCCGCAACGAGCGCAACCCUUAAGCUUAGUUGCCAUCAUUAAGUUGGGCACUCUAAGUUGACUGCCGGUGACAAACCGGAGGAAGGUGGGGAUGACGUCAAAUCAUCAUGCCCCUUAUGAUUUGGGCUACACACGUGCUACAAUGGACAAUACAAAGGGCAGCGAAACCGCGAGGUCAAGCAAAUCCCAUAAAGUUGUUCUCAGUUCGGAUUGUAGUCUGCAACUCGACUACAUGAAGCUGGAAUCGCUAGUAAUCGUAGAUCAGCAUGCUACGGUGAAUACGUUCCCGGGUCU
RNAcentral lists this ribosomal RNA (1371 nucleotides) under uncultured bacterium. Its description in RNAcentral is "bacterial SSU rRNA". It matches the Rfam family "Bacterial small subunit ribosomal RNA", at positions 28 to 1381 of the family's 1533-position model. The record is from RNAcentral.